Molecule: long non-coding RNA, 2393 nt
Filed under: Sus scrofa (pig)
Lineage: Eukaryota; Metazoa; Chordata; Mammalia; Artiodactyla; Suidae
Description: lncRNA (ENSSSCG00040038443.1)
Source: RNAcentral
AUUUGGUAUUCUGUUGGGCUGAAUGGGAGCAAAGCCUUUCCCGGUGCAGAGCUUCCAGGCUGGUGUGUGGAAGGAUCGUAGUUCGUUAGUUCUGAGAGACCUCCUGUUCCCAGAUGUGUCCUCUGCAGAUACUUGGCUGAAAAAGAAUCCUGACAGCAACUUUAAGCUUAUGUAAUUACCAUCUACUUGUGAAAUUCAAACCUGUGGUUGGUAAUAAUGGAGACUACGACUCCCGUGACUGAAUGACAAACUGGCUUUCAUUUUGGGCACUAACUAGAGUCAAGUGGUAGUGGCUGCCUGGAGUGCUGAGCACAGAAGAAAUCUGAGGCCGAGUCCUGGUUCACUGGGAAAGAAUGCCACAGUAGAUUCGUGAUGUCUGCCGUAAACAGGAGUGGGGGUGUUGACGUGUUGCUACAUAUCUCCUCUGUUCUAGCAAAAGAAUGCUACCACCUUUAUAAACAUCUCUUUUUAUUUGCUUAAUGAACUUAACUUUUGCUGACAAGCCAUUGGGGCUAUCUCUAGACAGGUGACUGAUAUUUCAGCUAAUUUGAAACUCGGUGUUUUUAUUUUUUUGUUUGUUUUCUUCUCUAGGCAUGUCCCUUCUAUCUUACAUCUCCCCUCCCCAGUUUUAGAAUCCUCUUCCUCCAUGAAACACUCAACAUUUUCAGAUUGAAUCAUGCUUUCUGGAAAGGAAAGCACCCAGCCAACCAAGGGGUCGUUCAUUCUGAAAACAUGCCUGUUUGAAGGGCGUGUUUAGAGUUGGCCGUGUUUCAACCAAAGGAAUACUUUUCUGUCGGUGAAAUUCAGGUCUCCUAGUGGAGAUUUGGGGCAUGGCUCUUCUCUUGACACAGUUUAAAUGACCAUAUAUGGUUCAUCAGAAUCCUCAAGUUUCUUGAGGUAAGUAUGAUGAACCACUUUGCUAUCUGCUUCACUUACUGCAGUGUAGCCUUAAGAUAGGCUAGACUCUUGUCAAGAAGCAACGUAAAUCCUAUUCUUUCUCUGUUCUUUCUGUCAAAAAAGCAUCCCCUUCCUACCUAGAGUAGCUAACUGCUGAAACAGAACCAUUCAGAUUGGAAUAUGCCUUUCCAUUUAUUCUAAGUAAUACAGCAGUUGGAAAGAAUACUGCAAAUACAGAUGUAUCAACUUGGAAACCAAUCCAUGAUAUAUUAAGUAAAACAAAAUCAUUCACAGCAUUGUGCAAAGAAAACUAUAAAUGAACGUACACAUGCAUAUAUGUGCACAUACUUUAAGCCUAUAUUUCAAGCAUAUGAAAUAGCCUAGAAGAAGUUAUUUUUAAAAUUUUUUAACUUUUAAGCAAGGAGAGGAGUUAGGGAGUGUGGGGGGAAGUGAAUGGGGUCUUCUGAUUUUUUGUUUUUAUUCUACAUCUGACUUUUUUUUUUGCUUGUAUAGCUGGCAUUCAUUACCUCUAUAUUUUCAAGAAAAAAAAUGUCUGAAGUUAAUUGGAAGAGAACAACAAAAGAAAUCAGGCCAUAAAAUGUUAAAAUGCAGUUAUUCAGAAUAAGAAAAAUGGCAUUUCCCAUUGUCCUGAUAACCCUAAAGUUUCCAGCUGCUAAUGAUCAUCUCCCAGGGUCCCGUAGGGUCCCGUACACACACGUGAAAUGAGGGAGGAAGGCCUUCUGGCGUCUUCUACUUCCGGCCCUCUCCUGUGGUCAGCUGAUGGGAGAUAAGAUGCUGGGGCCCCGUAUGGAACUGCUGACUAUCUUUAAAUGAAAUCAAGGUCUACUCUUUCAAAAUUGCUUCCUACACAUUAGCUAUUUACUCUUGUUUGUGGCUCUAUUUUACUACAACAAGAGAUAAAUACAAAGAGUGACAGGUCACGACAAGGGCCACCUUGACUCAGGGCUGCUAGUGUUGCUACCCCAGAGAUGGAACCAGAAAAGAGGGAAUUCAGCAGUUUUUUAUUGUAGAAGCUAAAUCCUUUGUCAGCAACUCACAUUAAAGUAGAAAGGUAAGAUAUUAGAUGGAAAAUAUUCUAUUAGAAGCUCUACUCCUGACUAAAUAAAGUGUGGUUUGGAUUAAAUGCGUCCUUAGAGGAACAAGAAAACAAGUGACCUUGUCAUUAAAUUAUUGCAGUCAAACAGGGAUGGAUUCAAUGCCACUGUUAGCACAGUAGGACAGACCUUCUCAAGAUACUGGAGACAAGGUUUCUGUCGGAAAGAUUCCCUGCAUGUUCCCACCCACGAUUGUCUUAAAGGGUAUUCCUAGAAUCAACUUGGGAGUUCCCGUCGUGGAGCAGUGGUUAACGAAUCCGACUAGGAACCAUGAGGUUGCGGGUUCGAUUCCUGCCCUUGCUCAGUGGGUUAACGAUCCAGCGUUGCCGUGAGCUGUGGUGUAGGUCACAGACGCGGCUCGGAUCCUGCAUUGCUGUGGCU